RNAcentral lists this ribosomal RNA (254 nucleotides) under uncultured bacterium. Its description in RNAcentral is "partial 16S ribosomal RNA". It matches the Rfam family "Bacterial small subunit ribosomal RNA", at positions 524 to 776 of the family's 1533-position model. The record is from RNAcentral.
UACGUAGGGUGCGAGCGUUGUCCGGAAUUAUUGGGCGUAAAGAGCUCGUAGGCGGUCUGUCGCGUCGGUCGUGAAAACUUGGGGCUUAACCCUGAGCUUGCGGUCGAUACGGGCAUGACUGGAGUUCGGUAGGGGAGACUGGAAUUCCUGGUGUAGCGGUGAAAUGCGCAGAUAUCAGGAGGAACACCGGUGGCGAAGGCGGGUCUCUGGGCCGAUAUUGACGCUGAGGAGCGAAAGCGUGGGGAGCGAACAGG